This 138-nucleotide ribosomal RNA is filed under the name uncultured eukaryote. Its description in RNAcentral is "partial 18S ribosomal RNA". It matches the Rfam family "Eukaryotic small subunit ribosomal RNA", at positions 1299 to 1458 of the family's 1831-position model. The record is from RNAcentral.
UGGUGGAGUGAUUUGUCUGGUUAAUUCCGAUAACGAACGAGACCUUAACCUGCUAAAUAGCCAGGCCGGCUUCCGCUGGUCGCAGGCUUCUUAGAGGGACUGUCAGCGUCUAGCUGACGGAAGUUUGAGGCAAUAACA